This 497-nucleotide ribosomal RNA is filed under the name uncultured bacterium. RNAcentral describes it as "partial 16S ribosomal RNA". It matches the Rfam family "Bacterial small subunit ribosomal RNA", at positions 28 to 507 of the family's 1533-position model. The record is from RNAcentral.
GAUGAACGCUGGCGGCGUGCCUAAUACAUGCAAGUCGAGCGAACAGACGAGGAGCUUGCUCCUCUGACGUUAGCGGCGGACGGGUGAGUAACACGUGGAUAACCUACCUAUAAGACUGGGAUAACUUCGGAAAACCGGAGCUAAUACCGGAUAAUAUAUUGAACCGCAUGGUUCAAUAGUGAAAGACGGUUUUGCUGUCACUUAUAGAUGGAUCCGCGCCGCAUUAGCUAGUUGGUAAGGUAACGGCUUACCAAGGCAACGAUGCGUAGCCGACCUGGGAGGGGGAUCGGCCACACUGGAACUGAGAGACGGUCCAGACUCCUACGGGAGGCAGCAGGAGGGAAUCUUCCGCCAUGGGCGAGAGCCUGACGGUGCAACGCGGCGUGAGUUAUGAAGGUCCUCGGACCGUGAAACUCUGUUAUCUGGGGAGAACAAAAGUGUAAGUACCUAUGCACGUCUUGACGGUACCUUAUCAGAAAGCCACGGCUAACUACGUG